This 688-nucleotide ribosomal RNA is filed under the name uncultured bacterium. Its description in RNAcentral is "bacterial SSU rRNA". It matches the Rfam family "Bacterial small subunit ribosomal RNA", at positions 148 to 834 of the family's 1533-position model. The record is from RNAcentral.
CUUUCGAAAGAAAGAUUAAUACCCGAUGGCAUAAUGAUUCCGCAUGGUUUCAUUAUUAAAGGAUUCCGGUAAAGGAUGGGGAUGCGUUCCAUUAGGUUGUUGGUGAGGUAACGGCCCACCAAGCCUUCGAUGGAUAGGGGUUCUGAGAGGAAGGUCCCCCACAUUGGAACUGAGACACGGUCCAAACUCCUACGGGAGGCAGCAGUGAGGAAUAUUGGUCAAUGGGCGUUAGCCUGAACCAGCCAAGUAGCGUGAAGGAUGAAGGCUCUAUGGGUCGUAAACUUCUUUUAUAUGGGAAUAAAGUUGAGUAUGUAUACUUUUUUGUAUGUACCAUAUGAAUAAGGAUCGGCUAACUCCGUGCCAGCAGCCGCGGUAAUACGGAGGAUCCGAGCGUUAUCCGGAUUUAUUGGGUUUAAAGGGAGCGUAGGUGGAUUGUUAAGUCAGUUGUGAAAGUUUGCGGCUCAACCGUAAAAUUGCAGUUGAAACUGGCAGUCUUGAGUACAGUAGAGGUGGGCGGAAUUCGUGGUGUAGCGGUGAAAUGCUUAGAUAUCACGAAGAACUCCGAUUGCGAAGGCAGCUCACUAGACUGGUGACUGACACUGAGGCUCGAAAGUGUGGGUAUCAAACAGGAUUAGAUACCCUGGUAGUCCACACAGUAAACGAUGAAUACUCGCUGUUUGCGAUAUAC